UGUGCUUAUUGACGGUCUUGUGCUGAUUAGAUAAAUCCCACAUCAGUACAUAACAUAAAUCAUAAGCUAAAUUGUCGGUGCCACUUUGUCUUUCAAGUUGUUCCUUGUAUUACAUAAGGAUUUGCUAUCCACCUUUGGCAUAAAUUU
Molecule: small nucleolar RNA, 147 nt
Organism: Arabidopsis thaliana (thale cress)
Lineage: Eukaryota; Viridiplantae; Streptophyta; Magnoliopsida; Brassicales; Brassicaceae
Source: RefSeq